Molecule: long non-coding RNA, 514 nt
Filed under: Helianthus annuus (common sunflower)
Lineage: Eukaryota; Viridiplantae; Streptophyta; Magnoliopsida; Asterales; Asteraceae
Source: RNAcentral
AUGGUGGACACAUUCCAAGUUUCUUUGUAUUUUGAACUGCCGGUUCCCAAACUUGACUUACUGUGUUUAAGUACACCCAACCCUUAAAUAGUGUAUUGCAAAUUACAUGUUUAUAAAAUUCAUCUAUUGGUAUUAACGGUUGCAUUGCUACUUUACUUAUCGCAUACAAAAUGUUUCACGGGUCUUAAAGUGAAGACCUAGAUUCACUACCGGUGCACCCAAAUGCUUCUCCCCAGUGGUAUCAAGGUAUUAGGUGUGUAAAGUAGUGUCCCUUUCCAUAAGGUUGAGGGUUCAGGUCCCAUAGUGAAUAUUUAGAAGUUGGAUUAGGUGAAUAAUGUGUUCUUUUUUUAAUUAAUAAUAAAUAUAUAACCCACUCGGCCACUCAUAUGAAGCCACCUCAACCCACCACUACAGUUCACACUACCAUAACACACCAUGGAUGAAAUUAGGAAAAAAUGUGAUAACCAGUGACUAGUCACAUCUAAGAAUUUGCGAGUUAUAUAUGGAUGAUUCC